This 483-nucleotide long non-coding RNA is filed under the name Homo sapiens (human). RNAcentral describes it as "long intergenic non-protein coding RNA 1820". The record is from RNAcentral. Lineage: Eukaryota; Metazoa; Chordata; Mammalia; Primates; Hominidae.
ACUGUGACUGUCUCUACUUUCUGACUGUGAGUACUGCUACAAGUCCACCCCCACCUCUGCUUGUAGAAAUAAAAAGUGCAGAUUUAUGAGAGGGGAUGGGUCUACCUGGAGUGACUUGAGGAAUACCCAGAAGACCCCGUCCACCUCCUCCUGCUUAGAAUAUGCCUUUUGCUAGCCUGCUGUGAUGCCUGGAAUUUCAUCCUUCACCCAUGUGCUGCAGGACAAGAGGAGGGCCAGAAAGCUCUGCCCAUGCCUGGGGAGCAUGCUGGAUCUCCCUUCCAGCUACAGAAGAGGUCUAUGGUUUCUUAGACACGCGUGGAUUCUCACAGCCACCACCACAGACAGUACAAGCAACAGUUCCAAUACUCCAGAGAACGCCCUCAUCUCUCCUCACCCCUGCCUUCUGGCAAGCAAUGAGCUGUUCUCUGUUCCUGUAUUUUUGCCUUUUCUAGAAUGCCAUAUAAAUGGAAUUAUAUAGAAUGU